GAGGCUCCUACUGCUUCUGCUGGUGGCGGCGUGGGUGGUGGUCCACAUCAAGGCCUCUGCCAACGUGGGCAGCGUGCCCAGCAAGAGAUUAAAGAUGCAGUAGGCCACAGGGCCGCUGCUCAAGUUCCAGAUUCGUGUAUCCUGAAAGUACAGGCGGGUAUUUGAAGAGUACAUGCAGGUUAUUAGCCAGUGGUAUCCAGACAUCUGCAUUGAAGGAGAGAAUUAUCUCCCUCAACCAACUUAUAGACACAUAGCAUCUUUCCUGUCAGUCUUCAAACUGACAGGAAAUUAUUAAUAGGUUUAAUAAUUGAUGGCAAAGAUCCUUUUGCUUUUUUCGGCAUGCCAGCUUCUAGCAUCUGGCAGUGGGGCCAAGAAAAUAAGGUUUAUGCAUGUAUGAUGAUUUUCUUCCUGAGCAACAUGAUUGAGAACCAGUGUAUGUCAACAGGUGCAUUUGGGAUAACUUUAAAUGAUGUGCCAGUGUGGUCUAAGCUGGAAUCUGGAUAUCUUCAUUCUAUGCAACAACUUGUUCAAAUUCUUGACGAUGAAAUGAAACUCAAUGUGCAUAUGGAUUCAAUCCCACAUCUUCAAUCA
RNAcentral lists this long non-coding RNA (591 nucleotides) under Mus musculus (house mouse). Its description in RNAcentral is "long non-coding RNA chr8:19579941-19580532". Lineage: Eukaryota; Metazoa; Chordata; Mammalia; Rodentia; Muridae. The record is from RNAcentral.